Molecule: long non-coding RNA, 1616 nt
Organism: Oncorhynchus tshawytscha (Chinook salmon)
Lineage: Eukaryota; Metazoa; Chordata; Actinopteri; Salmoniformes; Salmonidae
Source: Ensembl
UCCCAUUGCUCUGACCUUUUUAACCUGUGUCUCCUCUCUGGGGAGGUUCCCAUUGCUCUGACCUUUUUAACCUGUGUCUCCUCUCUGGGGAGGUUCCCAUUGCUCUGACCUUUUUAACCUGUCUCUCCUCUCUGGGGAGGUUCCCAUAGCAUGGAAGGCAGCCAUGGUGCAUCCUUUAUUUAAAAGGGAGAUCAAGCUGAUCCUAACUGUUAUAGGCCAAUAUUUUUUUCUAUUUUGCCCUGUUUAUCAAAAGUGUUGAAAACUUGUCAAUAAUCAACUGACUGGCUUUCUUGAUGUCUAUAGUAUUCUCUCGGGAAUGCAAUCUGGUAUCCGCUCAGGUUAUGGAUGUGUCACUGCAACCUUAAAUUAAAUUAUGUCACCACUGCACUUGAUUCUAAGAAAUGUUGUGCUGCUAUUUUUAUUGACUUGGCCAAAGCUUUUGAUACGGUAGACCAUUCCAUUCUUGUGGGCCGGCUAAGGAGUAUUGGUGUCUCUGAGGGGUCUUUGGCCUGGUUUGCUAACUACCUCUCUCAAAGACUGCAGUGUAUGAAAUCAGAACAUCUGCUGUCUCAGCCACUGCCUGUCACCAAGGGAGUACCUCAAGGCUUGAUCCAAACAAACCCUGAUUCAGGUGACCAUCCUACCCAUGCUAGAUUACAGAGACAUCAUUUAUAGAUCGGCAGGUAAGGGUGCUCUCGAGCGGCUAGACGUUCUUUACCAUUCGGCCAUCAGAUUUGCCACCAAUGCUCCUUAUAGGACACAUCACUGCACUCUAUACUCCUCUGUAAACUGGUCAUUCUGUAUACCCGUCGCAAGACCCACUGGUUGAUGCUUAUUUAUAAAACCCUCUUAGGCCUCACUCCACCCUCACUCCACCCUAUCUAUGAUACCUAUUGCAGCCCUCAUCCAACACAUACAACACCCGUUCUGCCAGUUACAUUCUGGUCAAGGUCCCCAAAUCACACACAUCCCUGGGUCACUUCUCUUUUCAACUCGCUGCAGCUAGCGACUGGAACGAGCUGCAAAAAACACUCAAACUGGAUCGUUUUAUCUCCAUCUCUUCAUUCAAAGACUCAAUCAUGGACACUUACUGACAGCUGUGGCUGCUUCGCGUGAUGUGGACAUCGACAUCAAACUGAGGUCCUGCCAAGAAUCAUGCAACAGGACCUUUGCUUUCCUUAUCGACCACGACAGUUACCGGUCACAACAGGACCUGAUGACCAAAUUCAAUAACAAUACCAAGCAUCAGAAGAAGAACUCCCCUGUUAAAGACAUCCUGAAGAUCAAACUACAACCAGUGAAUGUCGAUCCUCCACCGUUGUUCAGCUACAAAACCAUCCCCAUCAUCCACAAGGAACUCCUGACUCAGUUUGAGGACCUAGAACAGAACGAGGUGGUUCUAGAAGACGUUCUAGAAUAAAUGGAAUGUCUGGGUUCCGUAGGGGUGACAGCCUUUCAAGAAUGUUAAUAAACCAAGAGAGAACUCUCUUGCUGGAUAACCAAAAUAUUAUUUUGAAUAGUAUAUUGUGUCAUAUUGUACCCUUAUCACUUAUAUUAAAGGAAUAUUGCAUAUUGUUUAACUACAAUUACCUGUAUAUGUAUGAUAUAAACUUAGC